Molecule: microRNA precursor, 83 nt
Filed under: Bombyx mori (domestic silkworm)
Lineage: Eukaryota; Metazoa; Arthropoda; Insecta; Lepidoptera; Bombycidae
Description: mir-2807 microRNA precursor family
Rfam family: mir-2807 microRNA precursor family
Source: Rfam by way of RNAcentral
UUAACUCAAAUUUGUAUGGAGUGGGAACGUUGCUCACGUUUGCCGCCAGGGGCGCUGCUCCAACUGCAUACAAAUUCAAGUUC